RNAcentral lists this ribosomal RNA (302 nucleotides) under uncultured fungus. RNAcentral's name for it is "eukaryotic LSU rRNA". The stretch from base 1 to 114 matches the Rfam family "5.8S ribosomal RNA", at positions 42 to 154 of the family's 154-position model. Lineage: Eukaryota; Fungi. The record is from RNAcentral.
AACGCAGCAAAGGGCGAUAAGUAAUGUGAAUUGCAGAAUUCAGUGAAUCAUCGAAUCUUUGAACGCACAUUGCGCCCCUUGGUAUUCCGAGGGGGCAUGCCUGUUCGAGCGUCAUUAUGACCAACUCAAGCUCAGCUUGGUAUUGGGGCUCCGCGGUCUCGCGGCCCCUAAAAUCAGUGGCGGCACCGCCCGGCUCUAAGCGUAGUAACUUUCUCGCUAUGGACCCCGGGUGGCUGCUCGCCAGCAACCUCUAAAUACUCACGGUUGACCUCGGAUCAGGUAGGGAUACCCGCUGAACUUAA